Molecule: long non-coding RNA, 220 nt
Filed under: Mytilus galloprovincialis (Mediterranean mussel)
Lineage: Eukaryota; Metazoa; Mollusca; Bivalvia; Mytilida; Mytilidae
Source: RNAcentral
GCUACGGCGGCGGCGUUAGCUCACUUCUUAAAAGCUUUAUAUUUUAGAAGGUGGAAGACCUGGAUGCUUCAUACUUUGUAUAUAGAUGCUUCAUGUUACAAAGUUUCCGUCAGUCACAUGUUCAAUGUCCUUGACCUCAUUUUCAUGGUUCAGUGACCACUUGAAAAAAAAGUUCAAAUUUUUUGUAAUGUUGAAUUCUCUCUUAUUAUAAGUAAUAGGA